This 22-nucleotide ribosomal RNA is filed under the name Trichoderma atroviride. Its description in RNAcentral is "partial 18S ribosomal RNA". The record is from RNAcentral. Lineage: Eukaryota; Fungi; Ascomycota; Sordariomycetes; Hypocreales; Hypocreaceae.
CCGUAGUACGCGGAGGGACAUU